RNAcentral lists this ribosomal RNA (505 nucleotides) under uncultured bacterium. Its description in RNAcentral is "partial 16S ribosomal RNA". It matches the Rfam family "Bacterial small subunit ribosomal RNA", at positions 28 to 507 of the family's 1533-position model. The record is from RNAcentral.
GACGAACGCUGGCGGCGUGCCUAAUACAUGCAAGUAGAACGCACAGUUUAUACCGUAGCUUGCUACACCAUAGACUGUGAGUUGCGAACGGGUGAGUAACGCGUAGGUAACCUGCCUUGUAGCGGGGGAUAACUAUUGGAAACGAUAGCUAAUACCGCAUAAUAUUGAUUAUUGCAUGAUAAUUAAUUGAAAGGUGCAAUUGCACCACUACCAGAUGGACCUGCGUUGUAUUAGCUAGUAGGUGAGGUAACGGCUCACCUAGGCGACGAUACAUAGCCGACCUGAGAGGGUGAUCGGCCACACUGGGACUGAGACACGGCCCAGACUCCUACGGGAGGCAGCAGUAGGGAAUCUUCGGCAAUGGACGAAAGUCUGACCGAGCAACGCCGCGUGAGUGAAGAAGGUUUUCGGAUCGUAAAGCUCUGUUGUAAGAGAAGAACGGGUGUGAGAGUGGAAAGUUCACACUGUGACGGUAUCUUACCAGAAAGGGACGGCUAACUACGUG